AUAUAGGUCUAUGCCCGACACACAGACGCUCGUUCCGUAUAUAAUUGUAAACAAAAGGCAUGGGGAUACCGGUUGCAUUAAGUUUAGUAGAUAGUUAGCUAACUAGAGUUUGCUAAAUUAAUUCAAGUUGCAAAACCAAACCUCUUUCCGGUGUAGGUGUCAAGCGCAUUUCACAACAAAAUGUUGAGAUGGUGCUAACAUCGGACAGCAGACAUUCAGGUAGCUACCACUGCUGACUAGGGUAUGUCGGGAAUCUGGUGACUGGUUUAGCGAAACUUUCAAAACGACCAUCGACCAAGCACCUAGCUGAGUCCUGCUGGCUGCCUCCUCUUCUUCUUUUCUCUCAAUUUCAGCCUUUUUGGCUGCCAGCUGCUUCAGCCUCUCCUCUGCAAUUCUUCGCUCCUCCUCUUCCAGCUCCUCUAGGGUUGUGUAACAGUGAUGGGCAGAUUGAUGGAGAGAGGCAGGUAAUUGGAACAGAGAGCAGGGGAAGCCUGAACUGCUCAGCAGGAGACAAGCUACUUUCAUUCAUUCAUUACCACAAUGGGAAAGUGUGCAGGCAUCCAAGCCAGUUCCAAUUGCAAGAGUGAAAAGUACAAUCCUUUUUAUACAAGUCUUGGCAGGCGUCUGACACCGCUGCAAGAUUCUCUGUCAAUCAGGGAGGGUGCACACAAGCAAGAGUCCUCAGAAGUGUAGGCAGUCAACCAUUUCCUCUAUUCUCUCUGCAAUCCAACAGCUGUGCUUCUGCAGUUACUGCACCAGAGGACUGAACAACCAACACAGCUGCAGUUAUGUGCUUACGAAAUUGGAGAGUGGUGAAUGCAAUAAUCUGCCGUUUUACCUUUAAGAGCCAAUUAAGCAUCAAAGAUGGGGCUCAAUUUCAGUUCAGUAAAUUCUGGGAACAUAUGGACAUUUUAAAAUAUGUUAAUUCACUUUAAAUUAUUUUGGGGAAUUAAGAAAGGAAUCGGACCCUACACUGAAAUGCCUAAGUACAAUUUAACAAAAUAUGGGAACAGGGACAACUGGAUGGUUGAGUGGUGCACACAAUCGGUGGGUAAGAUUAUGAAGGAGCAAAACAGGUUGCUAAGUGAGCUGGAGGAGCUCCAGUCCUCAUUUAUGGGUACAGACAAUGCUUAAUUUUCUAAUUCCUUACUGACUUUAAAUAAAUAAAUAACUUUUUUUCUGAUACAUAACAGAUAAAAUAAAUUCAAUUUAAAACUACUUGAGUUAAUAAAUGAAAAUGCAUUGAAUAUAUGACCUAAUUAUAAUGAGGGGGGUAAAUGUUAGCUUAUCUUGGGGAAAAUGUGUAAUUACUAUCAACGGUGACAAAAUACCAAUUACUGUUUUGGCCUGAAUAUAUCUUUUUUAAAAACCCUAUGGCUUAAAACAGAAAUGCUAACAAAAAUAAAAUGAUGCAAUAAAUCAGUAAAUAAAACAUGAGAACACAGUGUUCACUAAACAAAGGGGAAAAGUUCAGGGAAAAUAUUCAGUACAGAGGAUUUUGCUUCAGAUGCAGGGUUUGAAUAUUCAUGUCGAACAGGACAAAAUCACUUUUUAAAUUUCAACAAUAUACUGUAUGUGUUAAAAUAUUCUGCUGCAAUCCGUCACAAGGUAGGCCACAGAACGAAAGAAGAAUAAUGGAAGUGUGAGGCAGUCUGCUGCUGACGUCCAAAGUAAAAGACACUAAGGUGUAUGGCACACACACACACACACACACACACACAUACACACAUACACACAUAUACACAUACUGUACACACACACACACACACACACACACACACACACUCUCACACAUGCACACACACACACACACACACACACACACACACUUACCAUAUAUUGUAGCCAUUUGAAGCAAUUCACUGUGCAGGGCAUGGUUGUGAUUAAACCUUAGGAGACAGCCAAUGUGUACAGUAUCACACACUUCUUUCAAAGUAACACAUCCCUUUAAUUGAAUCUAGAGUCAGACUAGGGAAAGAACCAGAGAACAUUUCCAGGUCUCUGUACUUUUUUGGUUUGACUUUCUAUCAGGGGGUUAAAAUGAAAUGACGCUAAUGUUGCAAUAUAAUUUUGCAAUUAUAUCUUGCCUUGAACUACCUUUCUUUUUUAUGUGAAUAAACCUGAUUGAAUUUCAUUCCAUUCAUUGAUUUUAAGUCCAUCUUAAGUCACAGAUGCAUGAUGCGUUCACCAACACAAGGUUUCAAUUAUAUGAAAUGCUGAGAUUUCUGAAAAUUAUAUGUAGAAAAGAGAACUGUAAAUCCUUUGAAAUAUUUAUAAAAAGGUGCAAAUGUUAACUACAAAAUGUAAGAGCUCAAGCUUUUUACUCUGUCACAGGCUGGAGCUGAAUAUUGCUAUGAACUGUGAAGGUUGAGGUCAAAUUCUUCCAUAGUGUACUUAAUGAAGGUCUUCACAUUUCAUUGUUGUAAUUAUUGAACUUUGAGGUCAUCUAGGAGGGAUGUGAAAAAAUGUAUUUCUUAUGUAUUUCUUCUAACAAACUUUUAACAUUUUUACUGGACUGUAACGGACUAGAGUUUCAGAAGAACAUCUGUGGACUUACCUGAGCAUAAAGUGUUGCCAUUAAAAUAACAUAUUCUGGUGGUGCUGGUAAAACAAUAUUAGUGCCAAUGGUAGUAAUGAUGGCAUUGGCUGUGGUUGUAGUAGUGGUGGUAGUAGUAUUAGUGGUAGUGGUGAUGGGGAUGGUGCACCACAUUACAUAAAUUUAACACAUUACAGUAUCCUCAUACCUGUACAGAAUCUGUGCAUGCUGUAUGUAUCUAAACUUCAUGUAUGCUGAAAUAUACUGUUAUUCACACAUGACUUUUUAAACAGAGUUAUGUUACAGUUAAUGAUAGCUCACAGUUGUUAGCUGGUUAACAUCCACAUUUUUUUAUUUCAGCUAAUACGCACACACACACCUCUAGCUAAUGUGGGGGAACCUUUUGCUAGCCAAUUACAAGCCAUAAAAAAAUAUUUGACUGUGCCUUCGCUUUAUGUGUGCAAGUUAUCUAUAAUAUUAUAAUAAUAGCACUGGAUGUGUAACAACAGUAUAUAUAUUGAAAUGAGAAGUAUGAUAAAAGCAAAUAUAUUUUGCGGUAUUAAAUUGGCAUAUUUCAUGUAGUUGUUUAGAGGCAAUCUAAUAUUUUGGUACUUCUGUAUUUUAAAUUAGAUACAGUGCCGUGAAACUAUAAAGGAAGGAGACAAGCACUUAAUCAUGCCUUGGUUGACCAGAAAAGUUAAUGGUAAACGUGACUCAGCAGAGGGUCAAUCCUGUGGUCUGGAAACCAGGGACCAUAAAAGUUCCUCUGUAUAUGUACAUCAUUACAUUGCUAUUUCAUUUAUUUAAUAUUAAAAGUUUUCAAACACCCAUACCACCCAUGUGAAAAAGUAAUUUCUCCCUCAGUCAACCAGUUAACUAAAUUUAAUUGAUAAUUAGAUUCAGUUGAUUGAACACAGCCAAGUUG
Molecule: long non-coding RNA, 3461 nt
Organism: Anguilla rostrata (American eel)
Lineage: Eukaryota; Metazoa; Chordata; Actinopteri; Anguilliformes; Anguillidae
Exons: 5
Source: RefSeq, a predicted model, not a curated record